RNAcentral lists this unclassified non-coding RNA (280 nucleotides) under Hevea brasiliensis (rubber tree). Lineage: Eukaryota; Viridiplantae; Streptophyta; Magnoliopsida; Malpighiales; Euphorbiaceae. The record is from RNAcentral.
GGCCUUUUAAAACUCCUUCCUCCUCUUUACGAAAAGCUUCCUCUUUAUCCGCAGCAGUUGAGUCAUACCACAGAUUAACAACCGCAUCACUGCCACCGGUUGCAAACAUUUCUGUCUUUUUCCCAAUUGCCAAGGCCCAAGCCUUGUCCUCAUGUUGAUCAUAUGUGGCAAUGCACUCAUUCGUUUUUACUGUCCAUAGCUUUACCAAACCAUCAGCACCACAUGAAACCAAUUGGGUGCCACGAGUAAGAAAUGAUGCUCUCAAUACACUUGAUGUGUG